GAUUGUGUCUGACAAGUCUGGGCAUGUGAAUACAACACAAAUUGUAUUUGAAGGAAUCUCUUUUGGAGUUACAAAGUUGUCAUAUGAUUGGUUAAGGCGCUCGUUGUAUUGGGCGGAUACCUCUUAUCAGACGAUAUUUAAACUGGACAUUUCUCGCGUCUGCUUAGCCUGCUCACCUCACAUCUCACACCAACGAAGGGAUGCCUGGACAUCAGUACUACAAGGUCAGAGUCGAGGUAUCAUAACGCCUUUGAUCACUGAAGAUUUGGUACAGCCAUGUUCAGUGGUUGUAGAUCCUAUAAGGCGUUUCUUAUAUUGGGCUGAUGAUGACACAGAAAACUUUCCCAAUAUUCAACGGUCUACGCUGGAUGGAACUAACAGAACAGCUUUAGUGGAUGGUUUGAUAAGACCUACCGCUUUGACCCUUGACCAUGACAAAAAUAUGUAAGAACCGGCCCGCAGGGCGAGCCUCCAGAGUCCUCUCCAGCGACUCCUAAUACUA
Biomphalaria glabrata is the source of this 502-nucleotide long non-coding RNA. RefSeq lists it as uncharacterized. Lineage: Eukaryota; Metazoa; Mollusca; Gastropoda; Planorbidae. The transcript is spliced from 3 exons. The record is from RefSeq and is a predicted model, not a curated record.